AAGUCGUAACAAGGUAACCGUAGGUGAACCUGCGGUUGGAUCAUUAUUGAAAUCCAAAACAACUUGAGGCGCACGACGACCUUUGCAAAAAGACGUCUGCACUCAACACCCCAAAACCUUAGACUGCAGGACUUGUCCUGUGUGAACCUAAUCUGAUCUUUGCUUCGGCACCGACUUGGUCAUUCUCUGGAUGGCCUGUCUCUGCCUGCACUGGUCAUUACUUAACCUAGAACAAACAUUUGUUUAACUUGUUUCUUUUACGCAUCGCAAGAUGUACUACUAAAGAAAAACAACUUUUGACAAUGGAUCUCUAGGCUCUC
Molecule: unclassified non-coding RNA, 320 nt
Filed under: fungal sp.
Lineage: Eukaryota; Fungi
Description: partial internal transcribed spacer region
Rfam family: Eukaryotic small subunit ribosomal RNA (bases 1-46)
Source: RNAcentral